AGUGAACGCUGGCGGUAGGCCUAACACAUGCAAGUCGAACGGCAGCACAGGAGAGCUUGCUCUCUGGGUGGCGAGUGGCGGACGGGUGAGGAAUACAUCGGAAUCUACUCUGUCGUGGGGGAUAACGUAGGGAAACUUACGCUAAUACCGCAUACGACCUACGGGUGAAAGCAGGGGACCUUCGGGCCUUGCGCGAUUGAAUGAGCCGAUGUCGGAUUAGCUAGUUGGCGGGGUAAAGGCCCACCAAGGCGACGAUCCGUAGCUGGUCUGAGAGGAUGAUCAGCCACACUGGAACUGAGACACGGUCCAGACUCCUACGGGAGGCAGCAGUGGGGAAUAUUGGGCAAUGGGCGCAAGCCUGAUCCAGGCAUACCGCGUGGGUGAAGAAGGCCUUCGGGUUGUAAAGCCCUUUUGUUGGGAAAGAAAUCCAGCUGGCUAAUACCCGGUUGGGAUGACGGUACCCAAAGAAUAAGCACCGGCUAACUUCGUGCCAGCAGCCGCCGCCG
This 506-nucleotide ribosomal RNA is filed under the name uncultured bacterium. RNAcentral's name for it is "partial 16S ribosomal RNA". It matches the Rfam family "Bacterial small subunit ribosomal RNA", at positions 29 to 523 of the family's 1533-position model. The record is from RNAcentral.